UUAAGUACGCCAAUCCUCAUAAGAACCACAAGCAGCAGGAGCAGCAUCGGCAACAGUGACGGAACGGGGAACAACAGUAAGUUGAGGGACAACUGGAGGUUGAGAGACAAAUGGAGGUGGAGAGACAUCCAUAUUAGGAGAACCAACAGCGGUAAACGAACCAGCCGAGGUAGGAGAAGGAGCAGCAGUAGGAGGAAUAGGAGGAGCAGUAGGAGGUAGAGGGAAUCCAAUAGACUUUAAAACGUGAGAGAAAAACUGUCGUUG
This 264-nucleotide long non-coding RNA is filed under the name Capsella rubella. RNAcentral describes it as "long non-coding RNA (CRUB_LNC002217)". The record is from RNAcentral. Lineage: Eukaryota; Viridiplantae; Streptophyta; Magnoliopsida; Brassicales; Brassicaceae.